CAGUGUUUCAAAGGAAAAUGAAGCCCCUUUGGAAAUGUGAAGCUCCGAGAUAAUGACCGGAUCGCUCCAGGACUGGAUGGGAACAGCUCCGCUGGGAAGGUGCCGGAGGGCCACACCUUUGGAGCCAUCCUUUGGGAACGAGCUGCGGAUUGAUGCUCCCGGAUGGUUUUGGUUUCCGGUUCUUCCUGGAGAAAAUCCACUCCAGCUCGGGAAUAAUCCGCACCCAAACAGGGAUCCCGGGAAGUGAUGGAUGGGGAAGGAAUGGAGAAAGCCUUGUCAAGCCGAGCGUGGUGGCGGUGGAGGAACUUCCCGGCACCGGGCGUUUUUCCCUGCACCAUCCCCUCCGCCCCAGCCCGUGACGCCGGCUGAAAGGAACAUUCCGGCCCUCGCCUUUCACCCCGCAGCCCAUCAAUAAAAGCUGGAAGAGCUGGAGGAGUGGGAAUACU
This 446-nucleotide long non-coding RNA is filed under the name Parus major (Great Tit). RNAcentral's name for it is "lncRNA (ENSPMJG00000018665.1)". Lineage: Eukaryota; Metazoa; Chordata; Aves; Passeriformes; Paridae. The record is from RNAcentral.